GCUCUUAAAUUGCGUGCUAGGAGGAAGAAAAAGGGGUUGCCUUGUUGUGAUUGGCCCAGAGGAGGGUUCCAUGUGAAAGAGAACUAAGGUCAGAAGUCAUGUGAGCGACCUUGCUGGGGGAGGUUCUUCUAUUUCUAUAGUGAAGCCUGUAGACUACAGUCCCAGAUGACAUCUUGACAACAAGCUCAUGAUUGACUGAGAGCCAAAGCUACCCAGUCGGCUGUAAGUAGAAGGAACAGUCGCUUCAAUUACCCCAGCCAUGAGAAGCUCAGACCAUGGGGACACUCCCUGAGAACACUGCUGAGAUGGGACAUGGGAAAUAACAACAAAAGAAGCAUCCGAGGGGGAAGGUUUGAUCAUGGAGAAACGCUUGGGCAGGCAGCAGCUUCCAGACUCGCUGAAAAACUUUUGGCUGAAUUGGACUGGGAUUCUUGAGGUCAAGCGAACUUUUUAAAAUAUGUAAGCAGAUAUUUUGGAAUGUUUGAUUAAAUUUAGGGGCUAUGAAUACAA
Molecule: non-coding RNA, 510 nt
Organism: Rattus norvegicus (Norway rat)
Lineage: Eukaryota; Metazoa; Chordata; Mammalia; Rodentia; Muridae
Source: RefSeq, a predicted model, not a curated record